This 1579-nucleotide long non-coding RNA is filed under the name Anas platyrhynchos platyrhynchos (common mallard). RNAcentral describes it as "lncRNA (ENSAPLG00000017370.1)". Lineage: Eukaryota; Metazoa; Chordata; Aves; Anseriformes; Anatidae. The record is from RNAcentral.
AGGUGGGGUGGCCGGGUAGGGCCGGACAGGGAGGCAGAGAGGCGGCCCCGGGCCUCGGAGCAGGGAGACGGGGCGGGCGGUGGGGCCGGGCCUCCGCGCUCGGGGCGUGCCGGGCAGCGGGCGGGCUGCUCGCACGGCAGCUCCCUGGCAGCUGCCGGCCGCUGUGUGCUCCGCUGCGGAGGGGCUAAAUGCCGGGUAUCGGGAUCAGUGCUGCGGCCCCGUGCCUCUCCUGCCCUGCCUGCACAGCUCCUGCCCGCUGCGAGGUGCAGUAAUUGCUGCGAGCUCCGUGCCUGCCGCAGCACAGUGCAUGGAUCCUUCUGCAUGGACCAUCCAGAUUCCUCAUCUGGUUGCUUACUAUGGCGCAGGCAUCUCAGUCUGUCUUGUUCUACGUUUUUCUUUGGGUCAUCCUUCUUUUCUCAAGGAGGGGGCACAGAGAACAAGUUUCUGCGGUCACAAGUUGGCACUGAGCUUCAAGAGGCUCUUCUCCAUGUUGCUUCUUCAGAUGUCUGUGGAAACUUACUGGUUUCUAUUUUCUCAAUAAAUCUGUGUUAUUUGAAUAAUACUCUGUGUUUAUUUUAGUAAUAAGUAGUAAUUUUAAUGAUGGGUUUUAAGGCAAGUUGCCAUAAUUUCAAAUUUAAAUAAGUUUGGUUUUGAUGUAAGCACAUCAGAAAAUGUGCUUAAUUACUGUUCAAGUAAAAUUUUAUUUAAAUGUCAAAGUUGUAAGUUUUAUUUUUCCUGGACUAAGGUUCAGCUAACUAUAUUUUUAGCUCAGUUGAGUACUGCAGGUCACAAAACCAGUGUGCUCAGGAUCAUUUACUACAGUGUUUGCCAUUUUUCCCAUGAAUGGGCUUGCCAAAGUAUGAUUUGUAGGAAUUAGAGAAUUCAGAGAGGAAAUUGACUGUCCCUUACUUCUGCUGCUUCCUCCAGUAUGCUUGCAUGUCACUCUCUGCUCUGACCUGUGCAGAGAAAUCUAUUCUUUUCCUCUUCUGAUAUCCACUGGUACUCACCCUUGGAACGGGUCCUGGAAGCUGAUGCUUCUGCAGCCUGUUUUAUAGGAACAAGACUGAAGUUCACAUUGGGUUUAUUUGCCUCAAAAUGCCCUCCUUCCCUUCAGGAUUUCUGUAAACACUAAUAGAUUUGAAUAGUAGAGUUCAGGACACCUGUGCUUACACCUUUUCCAAAUGAAUCUCUUUCUUUUUCUGUAUUAAUUCCAAAUGAAUUCACUGGGGUAGCUCACACUAGGGUUCCUGGCAAUCAACACUGGCUGAUAGAGCAAAGUCUGUCUCUUCGCAUGGUAGAGUUCCUCCAAUUGCUGCUAAAGACUGAAUAUAAGGCUACAAUCACUGUUCAGUUUUUGUUGUCAGUUGCUAAGAGAGCUGUAUUUAUACCUAGUGGGAAAGGACACCCUGUUAGGUUCCAACAAAAACGUUAGAAAUUCUUGAAGAUUACUGGUUUUAUGCAGGCUAAAGAAAUACUGCUGGUUCCACUUAUAAAUGUACCAUGUCCUCUAUGCAUGGCGCAACAGCUGCAUUGCAUACAGAAGUAUGUGUUUGUGUAGUUUAAAAAUAAUAUUAAAUUA